GACGAACGCUGGCGGCGUGCUUAACACAUGCAAGUCGAACGGAAAGGCCCUGCUUUUGUGGGGUGCUCGAGUGGCGAACGGGUGAGUAACACGUGAGUAACCUGCCCUUGACUUUGGGAUAACUUCAGGAAACUGGGGCUAAUACCGGAUAGGAGCUCCUGCUGCAUGGUGGGGGUUGGAAAGUUUCGGCGGUUGGGGAUGGACUCGCGGCUUAUCAGCUUGUUGGUGGGGUAGUGGCUUACCAAGGCUUUGACGGGUAGCCGGCCUGAGAGGGUGACCGGCCACGUUGGGACUGGGAUACGGCCCAGACUCCUACGGGAGGCAGCAGUGGGGAAUAUUGCACAAUGGGCGGAAGCCUGAUGCAGCAACGCCGCGUGCGGGAUGACGGCCUUCGGGUUGUAAACCGCUUUCGCCUGUGACGAAGCGUGAGUGACGGUAAUGGGUAAAGAAGCACCGGCUAACUACGUG
Molecule: ribosomal RNA, 468 nt
Filed under: uncultured bacterium
Lineage: Bacteria
Description: partial 16S ribosomal RNA
Rfam family: Bacterial small subunit ribosomal RNA
Source: RNAcentral